AGAAACGGUGGGAGCUAAUAUCUCCCACUAAUGACGGUACCUGAAGAAUAAGCACCGGCUAACUACGUGCCAGCAGCCGCGGUAAUACGUAGGGUGCAAGCGUUAAUCGGAAUUACUGGGCGUAAAGCGUGCGCAGGCGGUUUUGUAAGUCUGACGUGAAAUCCCCGGGCUCAACCUGGGAAUUGCGUUGGAGACUGCAAGGCUAGAAUCUGGCAGAGGGGGGUAGAAUUCCACGUGUAGCAUUGAAAUGCGUAAAGAUGUGGAGGAACACCGAUGGCGAAGGCAGCCCCCUGGGUCAAGAUUGACGCUCAUGCACGAAAGCGUGGGGAGCAAACAGGAUUAGAUACCCUGGUAGUCCACGCCCUAAACGAUGUCUACUAGUUGUCGGGUUUUAAUUAACUUGGUAACGCAGCUAACGCGUGAAGUACACCGCCUGGGGAGUACGGUCGCAAGAUUAAAACUCAAAGGAAUUGACGGGGACCCGCACAAGCGGUGGAUGAUGUGGAUUAAUUCUAUGCAACGCGAAAAACCUUACCUACCCUUGACAUGGAUGGAAUCCCGGAGAGAUCUGGGAGUGCCCGAUAGGGAACCAUUACACACGUGCUGCAUGGCUGUCGUCA
This 620-nucleotide ribosomal RNA is filed under the name uncultured beta proteobacterium. RNAcentral's name for it is "bacterial SSU rRNA". It matches the Rfam family "Bacterial small subunit ribosomal RNA", at positions 446 to 1057 of the family's 1533-position model. The record is from RNAcentral. Lineage: Bacteria; Pseudomonadati; Pseudomonadota; Betaproteobacteria.